RNAcentral lists this long non-coding RNA (201 nucleotides) under Erythranthe guttata (spotted monkey flower). RNAcentral's name for it is "long non-coding RNA (EGUT_LNC002879)". The record is from RNAcentral. Lineage: Eukaryota; Viridiplantae; Streptophyta; Magnoliopsida; Lamiales; Phrymaceae.
AAAAACUCUGCACCAUCCAUAUCGCCGUCGAUUGGCGGUGAUGCCUAGCCUCACAUAAUCCGGCGGUGAUUCUUUCCAAAUUCACUAAUUGAAUGUGAGGGGAUUUGUACUCUUAAAUCUGCCGCCAGCAGAUUUGGUGGUGGUGGUUUUAGAAAAGAAAUUGGCUGCGGCGGCGUCGCGAGGGGUUUUGGGUACAGCCGG